RNAcentral lists this small nuclear RNA (22 nucleotides) under Arabidopsis thaliana (thale cress). RNAcentral's name for it is "snRNA_08276". Lineage: Eukaryota; Viridiplantae; Streptophyta; Magnoliopsida; Brassicales; Brassicaceae. The record is from RNAcentral.
UGUCCGCCUAUCUAUGGGGAUC